Hemicordylus capensis (graceful crag lizard) is the source of this 711-nucleotide long non-coding RNA. RefSeq lists it as uncharacterized. The transcript is spliced from 3 exons. NCBI's taxonomy places the organism in Eukaryota, Metazoa, Chordata, Lepidosauria, Squamata, Cordylidae. The record is from RefSeq and is a predicted model, not a curated record.
GCAUCCAGACCUACCCCCACAUAGUUCCCUACGCAGUCGGCGGAAAGCAGAAGAGAAUGUGGAGGAACUGAAGCAGGAAGUCUGGCGGCCAGGAUGGCACUACUGAGAGGUUCACAGAUGAGGUGUCAUGAUCAUACAUGAGUCCCCACCUCUGAAGCUAUGCUGUUCAUGAGAGGCCACACAACUCAAGCAAGCAAUUGUUUGCAGAAGUGGAGCUGUUUUGAGCAUCAGAGCCAACUCUCAGACUGCUGGAUUACUGCAAGAGACCAAGAAUUAUUUGACUAUUGUUCCUAGUUAAAGAAAGAAAGGAGCUGAACAUUAAGAAUAAACCAACUCAUCUAUUAAUCUGCCCUCAAUGAACUCUUCAGCCAUUAAAGUAUUCCCUUGAUUCACUUGAGGCCUCCAUCAUCCAAUAAAUGAAAACCACCUAACAAGACACAGCUACUUCAAGGCACUCUACUUAAGAGGGCAAAUGAAAAGCUUUUCAAUGAACAAGCGAUUCAGAGGGAAGUUCUUUCAGACUGGUAAAACCUACUUGUGAAUGAAUGAGAGAUUAGGGAUGAAUGAAUGGGUAAAUAAGAAAAUUUGCUUUUAAGAAUGGAGACGACUAGGUCUGUGUUUUAAUGAGAAUACUACAUGCAUAAGAAGGAACAUGCCUAUAGAUAUGCAACCAUGAGUAAAACAAGAAUUUUUUUUUUAAAAAAACCUACA